CCUACGGUCGGCAGCAGUGGGGAAUAUUGGACAAUGGGCGAAAGCCUGAUCCAGCCAUGCCGCGUGUGUGAAGAAGGCCUUCGGGUUGUAAAGCACUUUCAGUGGGGAAGAAAGCCUUGGGGCUAAUACCCUCGAGGAAGGACAUCACCCACAGAAGAAGCACCGGCUAACUCCGUGCCAGCAGCCGCGGUAAUACGGAGGGUGCGAGCGUUAAUCGGAAUUACUGGGCGUAAAGCGCGCGUAGGCGGUCUGAUAAGCCGGUUGUGAAAGCCCCGGGCUCAACCUGGGAACGGCAUCCGGAACUGUCAGGCUAGAGUGCAGGAGAGGAAGGUAGAAUUCCCGGUGUAGCGGUGAAAUGCGUAGAGAUCGGGAGGAAUACCAGUGGCGAAGGCGGCCUUCUGGACUGACACUGACGCUGAGGUGCGAAAGCGUGGGUAGCAAACAGGAUUAGAUACCCUGGUAGUC
Molecule: ribosomal RNA, 465 nt
Filed under: Vreelandella stevensii
Lineage: Bacteria; Pseudomonadati; Pseudomonadota; Gammaproteobacteria; Oceanospirillales; Halomonadaceae
Description: partial 16S ribosomal RNA
Rfam family: Bacterial small subunit ribosomal RNA
Source: RNAcentral